AUGCUACAUGAGGAAAAGGCGGCAGCCAUAAAAAUAUUAAAGAAGAAGGGACAAUUGCCUACAGAACUAACAAAAGAGGAUGAGGAUGGUAACCGCUGGCCAACUAAGGAAGCUUUAAUUUCUGCAAAGAGAGUUGACUUUGGAACAGACGUUGGUUGGCGUCUACUAUGUGAGCACUGGACUAGUACUGGAUUUAGAGGGUUAUCUUUAACCAACAAGAGGAACAGACUUGCUAAUGGGAACACUGUCUUCCAUUGCAGUGGUGCUAGAAAUGUUGUCGCCACGCGUCAAUUUCUGAAACUCAAAACCGGGAAAGACCCUGGAAUUUCUGGUGCUUGGCUUCACACGCACAAAUUGCAUCGAGGGACUGAUGAAGAGCAGAUAUGCAGUCAAAGAACUGCUGAUCAUUGGGAGGAUUUUGAUAAGGCAAUGAAAAAUGCCCAUGGAGAAAAUUGGGAAGAGGAGCACCCGGAUUUAGAUGGACAGAUCAUCUAUGAAGCAUCAGGCAGAAUGCCACAUGGCAGGCUGGGAAUUGCUAAUGAGUUGUUUAGCAAAGCAGAGAAGGCGAAGUUUAAGUCUAAAAGGGCGAUGGCCUCACAGCCGGUGCAGUCUGCUAAGGAGGAGCGUCUAGAAAGAGAAAACAAACAUUUGAAGCAGGAGAUCAAGCGUCUUCGAGGCAUUGAGCUUGUUGUUCAGUCUUUGGCUGAGAAAGGGGGAGUCGACUUUGAUGGCAUAAUGCAAUCAGCAGCAGAUGACUUGGUGGAUUUCAAAGGGGACGAGGUGAUGUGCCUCAACACCAAACCGAAAAGGGAAUGGGAAGCAGGACUGGAGGCAGUACGAGUCAUGGAAAUGAUGAUGAGGAUGACUACUAUGGCAAUGGGGGAUAUGAUAACUAUGGCGAGGGUGAUCUGUAUGGUGAUGAGCACUAUGAUCACUAUGGCCAUGGGGAAUAUGAUGACUAUGGAGAUGAGGAUGACUAUGGCUAUGGCGGUGGCGAUGGCGAUGAUGAUGAUUGGCUAUAAAAGUCUAAUGAUAUUCAAGUCAUGCCAAAAUGUAGUUAUGUUAGAUAUUUGA
This 1074-nucleotide ribosomal RNA is filed under the name Triticum aestivum (bread wheat). RNAcentral's name for it is "partial small subunit ribosomal RNA". The record is from RNAcentral. Lineage: Eukaryota; Viridiplantae; Streptophyta; Magnoliopsida; Poales; Poaceae.